RNAcentral lists this microRNA precursor (148 nucleotides) under Prunus dulcis (almond). RNAcentral describes it as "sRNA ncRNA". The record is from RNAcentral. Lineage: Eukaryota; Viridiplantae; Streptophyta; Magnoliopsida; Rosales; Rosaceae.
UUGCUUAAUCAUUCUUCUUUGGCUUCACGUGGGUGUUGGCAAGCAUCAUCAUUACCAUUUUGGGCUCCACAUUCAAUGUGAAGCCCAAAAUGGUAAUGAUGAUGCUUGCCAACACCCACGUGAAGCCAAAGAAGAAUGAUUAAGCAAC